UUCCUGAGAAAAUGUUGCUGCUUUUGCAAUCGGCUUGAAACAACUCCUUUUGUCAGUGCCUCCAUCCCGGAAUUAUCAGAAUAAAAAAAACAAAAAGCGGCAGUAGUUAGCUUUUCAUUUUCCACACAAGGAGAAUAUGAGGCUCAAGUCUGCUACUCAGCUAUGAGAAAUCCUACCCUCUUCCUCGCAUAAUAAUUUUUCCCCAUUGCAUUGCCUGCAUUGUGUCAUUUUACGAGCCAGUUCGUAUGGGAUGGAGGCUAACAUCGCGCAUGCACAUAUACGCGCAUUCGUCUUGACUAUUCUAUGCGAUGCGGGUGAUACCCGGAUGUACAGUACCACUACGACUACAUUCAAAUUCACUGCAUUGUUAAAUCCUGCGGCGGAGUUGGUUAUACCGAUGACACGAGGGGGACUGUCCAGUACAUAUACAAGCCACUCCGGGCUUUCUGAUG
RNAcentral lists this small RNA (452 nucleotides) under Histoplasma ohiense. RNAcentral's name for it is "hypothetical lncRNA". Lineage: Eukaryota; Fungi; Ascomycota; Eurotiomycetes; Onygenales; Ajellomycetaceae. The record is from RNAcentral.